This 604-nucleotide long non-coding RNA is filed under the name Elaeis guineensis (African oil palm). RNAcentral's name for it is "long non-coding RNA (EGUI_LNC005356)". Lineage: Eukaryota; Viridiplantae; Streptophyta; Magnoliopsida; Arecales; Arecaceae. The record is from RNAcentral.
UCUAGAUGGUCCAUUGUGUCGGCAGUUCCAUCAUAGAGUUCCAUCUGAGGCAUCUUGAAUUGAGAUGGGAGGGCUCAUCCAUUAUUUUCUGAGUAAAUGAAGGAUCAAUGUUGAACCUUAGAUCAUCCUCCAGUUGCUUCGGCACUUGAAGUGCAUCAAUCCACUGCUGCAUUUCUCGAAGCUUUUUUUCCAUCUAAUCUUCUCGAGUUGGUCGACGCCGAGGAGGAGCACGACCCGAAGUACAGUCUCUUCUAGAGAUCGGGGUAGGAGACCGCCUAUAAUGAUGACGAGGUGGGCUGUUAUGUCGACUUUGAUGACUAGCCUCCGCCUUUGGGCUAUGGGAAAGCCGAUCGGCCAAUCUCUCUCUGGCUGGCUGUGUAUUUUUUACAGUGAAAGAUAGUUUUAAGUUUUGUUGCAUCCCUGUCACCAUGGCUGAAAGUAUCUAUACCUACUGAAUAAGGCUAUUAUAUUGAUCGUGGGAGAUUGCUGGCACCAUUGGUGGAGGAUUCUCCGAUGCUGGUGGCAGUGGUGCAUUGAUCGACUGGAUGUUAUUGGCCUGACGACUGUUGGAGCAUUGCGAUAUAUUUGAUGCACCCUUUUGCAU